GAAUUAGUAACUUAAUUGGUAAAGAGCUUUUUUGUCGAAAAAGACGAUGUCGGUUCGAAUCCGGUCUAGUUCG
Molecule: transfer RNA, 73 nt
Filed under: Coccocarpia palmicola
Lineage: Eukaryota; Fungi; Ascomycota; Lecanoromycetes; Peltigerales; Coccocarpiaceae
Description: tRNA-Asp
Rfam family: tRNA
About the family: Transfer RNA (tRNA) molecules are approximately 80 nucleotides in length. Their secondary structure includes four short double-helical elements and three loops (D, anti-codon, and T loops).
Source: RNAcentral